UGAGGAAUAUUGGGCAAUGCCCGCAAGGGUGACCCAGCAACGCCGCGUGGAGGAUGAAUGUCGUAAGAUUGUAAACUCCUGUUAGAGGGGAAGAAUAGUACCGGUUGGACCGGUAUAUGACUGUACCCUCAGAGAAAGCCCCGGCUAACUACGUGCCAGCAGCCGCGGUAAUACGUAGGGGGCAAGCGUUGUCCGGAUUUACUGGGUGUAAAGGGCGCGCAGGCGGGAUAAAAAGUCAGUGGUGAAAUCCUACAGCUUAACUGUAGAACUACCUUUGAUACUUUUAUUCUUGAGUUCGGGAGAGAGAGACGGAAUUCCAGGUGUAGUGGUGAAAUACGUAGAUAUCUGGAAGAACACCAGUUGCGAAGGCGGUCUCUUGGUCCGACACUGACGCUGAGGCGCGAAAGCGUGGGGAGCAAACA
Molecule: ribosomal RNA, 422 nt
Filed under: uncultured bacterium
Lineage: Bacteria
Description: bacterial SSU rRNA
Rfam family: Bacterial small subunit ribosomal RNA
Source: RNAcentral